Homo sapiens (human) is the source of this 649-nucleotide long non-coding RNA. The record is from Ensembl. Lineage: Eukaryota; Metazoa; Chordata; Mammalia; Primates; Hominidae.
AGAUAUGUUGGAUAUUUUGCACAAGUGAAACAUCUCUACAACUGGAAUCUCCCUCCAAGACGGAUACUCUUUAUAAUAAGAUUCAUUAUUUAUUCGAUUCGUGGUGUUGGAACAGGCGAUGUAUGUGAUCUAAAAUUCCAAAUAGUAAUGGAGAAAAAGGUUGUCUUUUCCAGUACUUCAUUAGGAAAUUGUUCAAUACUGCAUGACAUUGAAACAGCUGGUGUAUUAACUAAUGUAUAUGACAGUCCAUCUCUGUACGAUGAUGUGAAAGUGCAGUUUUUCUCUUCGAAUCUUCCUAAAUACUAUGACAAUUGUUCAUUUUUCUUCUGGUUCAACACAUCUUUUAUUCAAAAUAACAGGCUUUAUCUACCAAGAAAUGAAUUGGAUAAUCCACAUCAACAAAAAGCAUGGAAAAUUUAUCCACCAGAAUUUGCCGUGGAGAUACUUUUUGGCGAGAAAUGACUUCCAAUGACGUAGCUGGAUCCGAUUAAGUAUAGUUUCCCCUUCCCCUUCUGGGAAAGAAUUAAUGUUCUUUCCAACCCCUGCCAUGUGCAUGUUCAUAUGUCCUAAGUCUUCCUUGAUGAUGUAUCUAUAUUUAUAUAUGUUUAUAUAUGUUCUUCAUAAAUCUAUUAAAUAUAUAUAGAUAAAA